CCGUAUCUGUCGCGCGAGGUCUCCCACCGACGCCUCUGACGCACUUCCCCGGCGCCAGAAGCGCCCUCGGGGGGAGUCCUGGCCCGACAGGUCGCCAUCC
Micrococcales bacterium 73-15 is the source of this 100-nucleotide non-coding RNA. The record is from Rfam. Lineage: Bacteria; Bacillati; Actinomycetota; Actinomycetes; Micrococcales.